AUUGAACGCUGGCGGCAUGCCUUACACAUGCAAGUCGAACGGCAGCACGGGAGCAAUCCUGGUGGCGAGUGGCGAACGGGUGAGUAAUAUAUCGGAACGUGCCCAGUCGUGGGGGAUAACGCAGCGAAAGCUGUGCUAAUACCGCAUACGAUCUACGGAUGAAAGCGGGGGAUCGCAAGACCUCGCGCGAUUGGAGCGGCCGAUAUCAGAUUAGCUAGUUGGUGAGGUAAAGGCUCACCAAGGCGACGAUCUGUAGCUGGUCUGAGAGGACGACCAGCCACACCGGAACUGAGACACGGUCCAGACUCCUACGGGAGGCAGCAGUGGGGAAUUUUGGACAAUGGGCGAAAGCCUGAUCCAGCAAUGCCGCGUGCAGGAUGAAGGCCUUCGGGUUGUAAACUGCUUUUGUACGGAACGAAACGGUGAGCUCUAAUACAGUUUGCUAAUGACGGUACCGUAAGAAUAAGCACCGGCUAACUACGUGCCAGCAGCCGCGGUAA
This 500-nucleotide ribosomal RNA is filed under the name uncultured bacterium. Its description in RNAcentral is "partial 16S ribosomal RNA". It matches the Rfam family "Bacterial small subunit ribosomal RNA", at positions 30 to 523 of the family's 1533-position model. The record is from RNAcentral.